RNAcentral lists this ribosomal RNA (433 nucleotides) under uncultured bacterium. RNAcentral describes it as "partial 16S ribosomal RNA". It matches the Rfam family "Bacterial small subunit ribosomal RNA", at positions 29 to 507 of the family's 1533-position model. The record is from RNAcentral.
AACGAACGCUGGCGGCAUGCCUAACACAUGCAAGUCGAAUGAGCCCUUCGGGGUUAGUGGCGCACGGGUGCGUAACGCGUGGGAAUCUGCCCUUGGGUUCGGAAUAACAGUGAGAAAUUACUGCUAAUACCGGAUGAUGUCUUCGGACCAAAGAUUUAUCGCCCAAGGAUGAGCCCGCGUAGGAUUAGCUAGUUGGUGGGGUAAUGGCCUACCAAGGCGACGAUCCUUAGCUGGUCUGAGAGGAUGAUCAGCCACACUGGGACUGAGACACGGCCCAGACUCCUACGGGAGGCAGCAGUGGGGAAUAUUGGACAAUGGGCGAAAGCCUGAUCCAGCAAUGCCGCGUGAGUGAUGAAGGCCUUAGGGUUGUAAAGCUCUUUUACCCGGGAUGAUAAUGACAGUACCGGGAGAAUAAGCUCCGGCUAACUCCGUG